AGGUGCGAUCAUACCAGCACUAAUGCACCGGAUCCCAUCAGAACUCCGCAGUUAAGCGUGCUUGGGCGAGAGUAGUACUAGGAUGGGUGACCUCCUGGGAAGUCCUCGUGUUGCACCUA
Molecule: non-coding RNA, 119 nt
Organism: Lupinus albus (white lupine)
Lineage: Eukaryota; Viridiplantae; Streptophyta; Magnoliopsida; Fabales; Fabaceae
Source: the annotation of a GenBank genome assembly